This is a long non-coding RNA of Zingiber officinale, 495 nucleotides long. RefSeq lists it as uncharacterized. The record is from RefSeq and is a predicted model, not a curated record. NCBI's taxonomy places the organism in Eukaryota, Viridiplantae, Streptophyta, Magnoliopsida, Zingiberales, Zingiberaceae. The transcript has 2 exons.
UUUCGUUACUUUCCUUUUGUUCUUAUUCACCAACCUAGCUUCCAGAGUCUCCUCAAUCCAUCCCUUCACUCACUACUCCUUUCUAGGGUUUGUAUCUAGUUCAGGGUGCAUGGUCUAGGCCUACUUAUAGAUACUGGAUCUUCCUUAUUAUGCAUGAGAACGUCGAGAAGGGUUUAGCAGAAAGGAAGGGCGAGAUCACCUUAGUUAAUAGGCUUCUGUUCUACAUUGACAACUAUUGUUCACCUUAGCUGAAAGGAAGGAGAAAAGAGAAGAAAAGGAGAAUUAUCAAAACCUCGCCCACUUCAGACCCCCAAUGCAGCACUUUUAUUAUUAUUAUUAUUAUUAUUAUUAUUAUAAUAGCUGAACUCAACUGAUCAACAUGUGAUGUAACAAUUAAUUAAAUUUGUGUUAUUUUGUAUAUAAAAUAAAAUAGGGAGAUUAAUCUCAAAUCAAUUUUCUUAGUUAGUUCCGACCACUAAUUUGUAUGAUUUUUAA